This 167-nucleotide RNase P RNA is filed under the name Candidatus Regiella insecticola. RNAcentral describes it as "partial RNase P RNA component class A". It matches the Rfam family "Bacterial RNase P class A", at positions 187 to 367 of the family's 367-position model. From Rfam's summary of the family: Ribonuclease P (RNase P) is a ubiquitous endoribonuclease, found in archaea, bacteria and eukarya as well as chloroplasts and mitochondria. Its best characterised activity is the generation of mature 5'-ends of tRNAs by cleaving the 5'-leader elements of precursor-tRNAs. Cellular RNase Ps are ribonucleoproteins. Lineage: Bacteria; Pseudomonadati; Pseudomonadota; Gammaproteobacteria; Enterobacterales; Enterobacteriaceae. The record is from RNAcentral.
UGGUAACAAUUGUGGCAAGGUAAACUCCACCUGGAGCAAAGCCAAAUAAAGGUUCACAAAGUGCGGCUCGUACUGAACCCGGGUCGGCCGCUUGAGCUAGUGAGUGAUUGCUGGCCUAGAUGAAUGGUUGUCCACGACAGAACCCGGCUUAUCGGCUAGCUCUAAAC